UGGGGAAUUUUGGACAAUGGGCGCAAGCCUGAUCCAGCCAUGCCGCGUGCAGGAUGAAGGCCUUCGGGUUGUAAACUGCUUUUGUACGGAACGAAAAGGUGCCUUCUAAUAAAGGGCGCUCAUGACGGUACCGUAAGAAUAAGCACCGGCUAACUACGUGCCAGCAGCCGCGGUAAUACGUAGGGUGCGAGCGUUAAUCGGAAUUACUGGGCGUAAAGCGUGCGCAGGCGGUUUUGUAAGACAGAGGUGAAAUCCCCGGGCUCAACCUGGGAACUGCCUUUGUGACUGCAAGGCUGGAGUGCGGCAGAGGGGGAUGGAAUUCCGCGUGUAGCAGUGAAAUGCGUAGAUAUGCGGAGGAACACCGAUGGCGAAGGCAAUCCCCUGGGCCUGCACUGACGCUCAUGCACGAAAGCGUGGGGAGCAAACAG
RNAcentral lists this ribosomal RNA (428 nucleotides) under uncultured bacterium. RNAcentral's name for it is "bacterial SSU rRNA". It matches the Rfam family "Bacterial small subunit ribosomal RNA", at positions 355 to 775 of the family's 1533-position model. The record is from RNAcentral.